UGCGUAGGCGGAUAAGUAAGUCAGUGGUGAAAGCCCAUAGCUCAACUAUGGAACUGCCAUUGAUACUGUUUAUCUUGAAUAUAUAUGAAGUAGGCGGAAUGGGUCAUGUAGCGGUGAAAUGCAUAGAUAUGACUCAGAACACCAAUUGCGAAGGCAGCUUACUAAUAUAUCAUUGACGCUGAGGCACGAAAGCGUGGGGAGCGAACAGGAUUAGAUACCCUGGUAGUCC
This 229-nucleotide ribosomal RNA is filed under the name uncultured bacterium. Its description in RNAcentral is "partial 16S ribosomal RNA". It matches the Rfam family "Bacterial small subunit ribosomal RNA", at positions 568 to 796 of the family's 1533-position model. The record is from RNAcentral.